This 72-nucleotide transfer RNA is filed under the name Citrobacter freundii. RNAcentral's name for it is "tRNA-Thr". It matches the Rfam family "tRNA". From Rfam's summary of the family: Transfer RNA (tRNA) molecules are approximately 80 nucleotides in length. Their secondary structure includes four short double-helical elements and three loops (D, anti-codon, and T loops). Further hydrogen bonds mediate the characteristic L-shaped molecular structure. tRNAs have two regions of fundamental functional importance: the anti-codon, which is responsible for specific mRNA codon recognition, and the 3' end, to which the tRNAs corresponding amino acid is attached (by aminoacyl-tRNA synthetases). tRNAs cope with the degeneracy of the genetic code in two manners: having more than one tRNA (with a specific anti-codon) for a particular amino acid; and 'wobble' base-pairing, i.e. permitting non-standard base-pairing at the 3rd anti-codon position. The record is from RNAcentral. Lineage: Bacteria; Pseudomonadati; Pseudomonadota; Gammaproteobacteria; Enterobacterales; Enterobacteriaceae.
GCCGACUUAGUUCGCAAAUAGAGUAACUGGCCUGUAAUCAGCAGGUCACCAGUUUGUUUCUGGUAGUCGGCA